AUCUAGCCCCGAUUGCAGCGGCAUCCCUCGCUUUUUUGGAGCGAGGAUACAGCGAAAAGCGGGACAAAUU
RNAcentral lists this small RNA (70 nucleotides) under Flavobacterium sp. FPG59. Its description in RNAcentral is "Flavo-1 RNA". It matches the Rfam family "Flavo-1 RNA". RNAcentral also lists the same sequence under 1 other name. Lineage: Bacteria; Pseudomonadati; Bacteroidota; Flavobacteriia; Flavobacteriales; Flavobacteriaceae. The record is from Rfam by way of RNAcentral.